This 1398-nucleotide ribosomal RNA is filed under the name uncultured bacterium. Its description in RNAcentral is "bacterial SSU rRNA". It matches the Rfam family "Bacterial small subunit ribosomal RNA". The record is from RNAcentral.
AGAGUUUGAUCCUGGCUCAGGAUGAACGCUAGCUACAGGCUUAACACAUGCAAGUCGAGGGGCAGCAUGGUCUUAGCUUGCUAAGGCCGAUGGCGACCGGCGCACGGGUGAGUAACGCGUAUCCAACCUGCCUUACACUCUUGGACAGCCUUCUGAAAGGGAGAUUAAUACAAGAUGUUAUCAUGAGUAAGCAUUUUCGCAUGAUUAAAGGUUUACCGGUGUAAGAUGGGGAUGCGUUCCAUUAGAUAGUAGGCGGGGUAACGGCCCACCUAGUCUUCGAUGGAUAGGGGUUCUGAGAGGAAGGUCCCCCACAUUGGAACUGAGACACGGUCCAAACUCCUACGGGAGGCAGCAGUGAGGAAUAUUGGUCAAUGGACGAGAGUCUGAACCAGCCAAGUAGCGUGAAGGAUGAAGGUUCUAUGGAUUGUAAACUUCUUUUAUACGGGAAUAAACGAAUCCACGUGUGGAUUUUUGCAUGUACCGUAUGAAUAAGGAUCGGCUAACUCCGUGCCAGCAGCCGCGGUAAUACGGAGGAUCCGAGCGUUAUCCGGAUUUAUUGGGUUUAAAGGGAGCGUAGAUGGGUUGUUAAGUCAGUUGUGAAAGUUUGCGGCUCAACCGUAAAAUUGCAAUUGAUACUGGCAGUCUUGAGUACAGUUGAGGUAGGCGGAAUUCGUGGUGUAGCGGUGAAAUGCUUAGAUAUCACGAAGAACUCCGAUUGCGAAGGCAGCUUACUGGAUUGUAACUGACGCUGAUGCUCGAAAGUGUGGGUAUCAAACAGGAUUAGAUACCCUGGUAGUCCACACAGUAAACGAUGAAUACUCGCUGUUGGCGAUAUACGGUCAGCGGCCAAGCGAAAGCAUUAAGUAUUCCACCUGGGGAGUACGCCGGCAACGGUGAAACUCAAAGGAAUUGACGGGGGCCCGCACAAGCGGAGGAACAUGUGGUUUAAUUCGAUGAUACGCGAGGAACCUUACCCGGGCUUAAAUUGCAACUGACUGAACCGGAAACGGUUCUUUCUUCGGACAGUUGUGAAGGUGCUGCAUGGUUGUCGUCAGCUCGUGCCGUGAGGUGUCGGCUUAAGUGCCAUAACGAGCGCAACCCUUAUCGAUAGUUACUAGCAGGUCAUGCUGAGGACUCUAUUGAGACUGCCGUCGUAAGAUGUGAGGAAGGUGGGGAUGACGUCAAAUCAGCACGGCCCUUACGUCCGGGGCUACACACGUGUUACAAUGGGGGGUACAGAAGGCAGCUACACGGCGACGUGGUGCUAAUCCCGAAAGCCUCUCUCAGUUCGGAUUGGAGUCUGCAACCCGACUCCAUGAAGCUGGAUUCGCUAGUAAUCGCGCAUCAGCCACGGCGCGGUGAAUACGUUCCCGGGCCUUGCACACACCGCCCGUCAAG